AUAGUUAAAGAUAUAAAAUGUGUACCUUAUGAGUUCUUGGAAGAAUGCACUCUUCUUGGAUCCACAAAAUUCAAGUUGGCAUAUCAAAGUAGAUGUUGACAAAUAAAGAUCAAAUCAAUUGCAUAUAGUUGUUCUUUGGCUUCUUGGCACAUUAAGAUUUAGGGUCAUCACAAUUUUUGAUGUACAAGAGAAAAACUUUGUUUAACUUGAUGAAUGGUGAUAGUGAUCAAUGAAUCUUUUUGUUACUAAAAUAUCUCCUAGGAAUUCUGAAAGCAUGUUGGAAUGUUUCAAAUUCAGAGAUCUGUUUUAACAUCUUCUCCAAAGUAAAAAUUCCAUUUUUUUGUGGUUUCAUUCUACAUGAAAAUGUUGGCAAAAUUUAGUAAUUGUUGCCGUCUAUUAUUACGUUUGUUGUUUUUUCCCAAGAAAAAGAGAGUUUCUUGGCUAU
This 445-nucleotide long non-coding RNA is filed under the name Medicago truncatula (barrel medic). RNAcentral's name for it is "long non-coding RNA (MTRU_LNC003800)". The record is from RNAcentral. Lineage: Eukaryota; Viridiplantae; Streptophyta; Magnoliopsida; Fabales; Fabaceae.